Molecule: long non-coding RNA, 3886 nt
Filed under: Triticum aestivum (bread wheat)
Lineage: Eukaryota; Viridiplantae; Streptophyta; Magnoliopsida; Poales; Poaceae
Description: long non-coding RNA (TAES_LNC010748)
Source: RNAcentral
AAAGCAAGAGCGAGCCAAGCAUUCAAAGCAUGUGUAUGAGAUUGAUUUAGAAUCAACUUAAAGAUACUUAUAUUCCAUUACAUGAAAGCUUGAUGCUUGAAACAAAAUAUUCAGAUCACUUGGUGAUAGCAUACAUUGGCUUUAAAAGACGGAUUAUAUUAGCAUAGAUGAAUGGUGUAUAUAGUGCUUGCCCGUUAACCAUUGCUCGAGUCUUGUACCUGCCAUCGGCAGAAAGGAAAGAAGCUACGACCCAGGCGGAGGAACAACCUAGCCGCACACUACAGACAGGAUCAGAGGCCUAUAGAGGAACAAAAAGAAUCAAGCGACUGUGUAUAAAACAAUAAGAUGGUACACUUUAUUAAUUAUUUUUCUAGCUGUUUUUCCUUUAUCAACAAGCAGCACGUAUUAGUUGGGUAAGCAAUAACCAGGUGGUACACUUGAUAUUGGAACCCCCAUACAUUUAUUAUCUCUAUUCAUUCAAAGAACUAACCCGAGCAGGCAUUGCAAGACUAUUAAGAAUCCGUAUGAAACUAAGAAAAGUGGGCAUCCUCUAUAAACAUGGAUAUCGACCAAUGGCAUAUGAGCACACAAUCACCCAGGAAGAAAACCACCAGGACAAGCAUAAGUAAACAAGAACACAUUUUUUCUAACAAGAUAUGAAGGAAAACCCAUACAAAGCACGGCAAACAUAAUAGGUGAACCGUGAAACACAUAGACAUGCAACCUAGCCGCACCAAUGCAGGAGUUCAUGGCCUAUAUUAUCAAGAAGUAAUAAGCCAAGGCAAUCUGAGCAGAUCUAACCUUGUUGGUUAACAGCAUGGUCGAAUGAACCAACAAAGAACCUGCACAGGCAGAGAAACAUGCAACGCAAAAUGUUUCAGCUCACAGGCAUUUCAUCGAACAGGAGGCGGCAGGAAAGAUCUUACCAUAUCUUGCAAGAAUAAAAGGGAAAGAAACCCAUAUUAGCUUAUGAAAACCAAAUGUGGCCAAGACUGCCGCAUCCUCUGCUUAGGCGACAUCCAGCAAAGCAUAGUGCAGAACUGCAGAUUCAGAACAUGCAGAUCAUGUUAUGUUAAAUACCCGUAUAUAUGCGCAGAUAUAUCACUUCUAAAUUUCACCAGUAAGUCAUGACAACAGUUUGGCGUUAACAAUAGUGUAAAAAAUAGCAGGAAGCAUACUUAGGCGACAUCCAAUCACGUAAGAUUAGGUCACACUGUGAUUUAUUCGAGAAGGCUUAUUGUGAAUUGUAAGAAAAUGAAAUAAAAACCAGAUACCAAAUUGCUGCAGAUGCACUCAUGGUAUAAACUCUGAAACAUCAAAGUACUCAAUUGAUGAAAUUAGAAAAGCAAUACAGGCCCAUGGUAAGCAACUUCAAUUGUAAACUCAGUAGCAUCAUGAAAUUAGAAGUCUACUAUAGGAAUAGAGGCCCAUGGUAAGCAACUUCACACAAGGUAAUAGUCCAGUAGGUCAAUAUGAUUAAAUGGUUUAAUACACAAUUUUGUAUAUCCGAAUCAGAUGGUUAUCCCCUUCCUCAUAACGAAUGAAAACAAUAACAUAGAAAGUCAGAAAUAGAGUGAUUGCCAAGAUAUCGGUUGUUUGACCCCUGCUCCUCCCCUUGUGUUGGUUCUUUCUCUCAUUUAGGGCAUGCCCUUGCACCAUAUCAAACAACCUAAAAUUGAAUUCCACAUGAGCUUGUACAACAUAAUGACAAGAGAUGUGCAUUCUCCUUCCAGUUGCCUGCACAUUUGGAAACAACUAAACAAAUCAUCUGAUUAGAAAUUCCAAGCUGCUAGUCUACAUUAUGAAAUAAGCAUACAUAUAGUUAACUGACGACGCGUUUCUAAGAAAUGGACCCCCCUGCAAGUUGCUUGCGCGUUUGGAACAGAACAAAACAUCUAAUGAACAUUCUCAGCUGCUGGUCUGCACUACAGAAUAGGUAAAUAUCGACUUGGGCUAUACUCAGUUCAGUUUUUGGUCACAAAAAGCCAGAGUCGACUUGGGCUAUACUCACUUCAGUUUCUGGUCACAACAAGGUACGUGCUUUCAUUCAGUGCAUGGAAUAUAUUUAGAUGGCCUCAGAAGCUCUGCGCAAUCUAACACGAUGACCUUGUCAACUCGCUAAAUGAAAGGUUAAAAGUACCAAUGCAGGUGUUAAACUGCAGAAAGAAUGCACCAAUCUCCAAAAUAGUGAAAGGACUCUCAUUAUAAGGCAAAAAUGGUCAAACUGUUAUUGUAACACCUAAGUAUUGCAGGCAGAGUUAUAAGAGGGGUCAUGAGUUGCUUUGGAAGCACGGGAAUGGCUAAAUAACCUGCAAAAUCUGUAACAGACGCAAAACAAUAUAACUCUCAGAAGAAAUUUUGCUCUUGUCCAUGCGAUAAAUUUAAAUGUAAAACAUUUACAGUAAAGUCGACAGAAAUGAGCAGGAAUUUAAAAUCUUUUAUAAAAACUAUACAGAACAAAGCAAAUCCCCAGUUCAGUUCUACUCAAAGACAAAGAUGAUGAUACAGAUUCUAAGCUAGCUGGCACAUCUACACAAAGAACCAACAUGACAAAUGCAAGUAAACCGGAGAUAAAUCUUCGGCUAAGAUUGAAGAAAGAAAAUAUGAUGAGCUCACCUUUGAUCUGCAUAGCACAUCCAGGAAUAACCAAUUUCUUCCUUAAUCGUGUGAGUGCCCAGGACAAAACAAUCUUCUAGUUCAUUGGUGAGCAACCCUUAUGAAGCUCCUACAAAGAGAAAAUUUAGAAUUUUAACCCAGAGCACAUAGUCGCAGUGAUUAAGCAAACUGGAACACUCUCAAAUGCUUAGCAAGCUCUACUUCCAAGAACCAUAUACAAAAUCAAUGAAUAGAAGGCUGAGUGAACUAAACAGACUUUGGUUAAAGCUGUCACACUACAAUUAGAAAAGCAUAUCCAUAGCAGGUGAACCUCAAAAUUUAUAUAUAGCCAAGCUGACCGCACAAAGGCACCAGUUCAUGGAAUAUGUACCAAGACCUAAUCAAGCAAGCCAAUAGGAAACCUAACCUUGUUGGUAAACAACACACACAUCCAACAAAAUCAACAAAGAACCUGCACAUAGAAAGGAACAUGGAAGAAAAAAAUGUCUCAGCUCAGACACAUUUUAUCGAACAGGAUUCAGGAGACGAGAAGAAAAGAUCUUAGCUCCGAGUGCAAAUAACCAACUGAUGUGAUCGCAUACCCGAGCAGCAAGCCACCAAUGAAACAAACAAGCCUGUAAAUCCAUCAGAUUGCUGAAGAGGUAGGGCAGCAGGCAAGCUUCUGCUGUUGCUGGUUCCGACAACAAGCACAAUGAGAGGCAACUUACCAAAUACAAUUAACAGCAGCAAAACCUGAAAAGCCUGAAAAAUAACAUAUGCUUGGAUUAGGAAGGCACCAUAGCUGCCAGUUGGUUGUACCAAGCAUAAUGAAACAUCACCUUUCUAAAGUCAGGAAAAGGUAAACAAAAAAUAGAUUGGUAAUGAUAUAUAUGUGUAGUACAGCACAGUAUCAAGCAGCAUAAAGUUACUGUCACAAUUGCCAUUCUUUCAGAUAUGAUACUAACCUGGUAACUGAAAGCCAACCGCUGUCUAGUAAUGCAGUUAAAAAGUAACUUGAGGAUACUAACUCCAAAGUUCAUUGCCGGGUUUUACCUAUAAUAAACCAACAAUAUAAACAUGACUAUCCAGAAUAAAUUUAGAUAUUCAGAAAAUAAAUGGAGCAAAAGAAAGUGACUAACCUGAACCCAACAGAACCAUCGCAAGGCCUCCGGUUAGAGGAACGACCAGUCCAACACUUGCAGCUACAACACUAUAAUGGAUCAAAUCGAAGAGCAGCAAAGCGUAAAUCGAAAAGGGAAAAAGGAAAAGCAUAAGGGAUAGGCCAAACCAC